UCUUGGUCUGCCUUUCCGACGCCCAACUGCAAUGUUGACUGGUAUUCGCGAUGCGUGGUCCUAUGAGGAUUUGUUGUGUUGGCAGCACAUGGGAGAUGUUUCUGGUUCUACACACAGCUCUGUUGUACUGGACAGGGCUGGAAUAGAGUCACUGCAGGGAUCAGGCAAAGGAGGUAUCGCUUCACUUUCUGGUUCCAAUGGAUCCAUACAACAAGGUCCAAUGAAGGCAGACUUUUGUGAAGACUCCAAGCAAAGAGACAUGCUGCAAGAUGAAUAGCUUAAACUAUCACUGUCAGGUAGUUUCUUGUCGGUGGAAAUGUUUAUUGUGUCAUUUUCAUCUGGGAUGGACAGCACAGGUAGAGUCUCUGUGUUUGGUUCAUGCACCUGUGCUCCAGUUUGAUUGUCUGUGAAUGGUUCUGCAGACCACUCAGGGUCAUUUGUGGAAAGUUGCAAGGGGUCCAUCAGGACUUGGGGAUAUUCACUGGCCCAAGCAGUCAAACUGGAACUCCACAAUUUCUAGGACCAGGCUCUGUGUCCAGGGAUGAAUUACUGAUGUCUCUUUCUGCUAUUCCCUCUUUUGAUUCUGGGAUUCAGUGCCUGAAAAGAAACAAAUUCAAUCAUCAUUAGAACUCGUUGGUCAUCUGUGAAUAAUAAACCACCUGAAAAUGUCUUAAAAA
Molecule: long non-coding RNA, 677 nt
Organism: Poecilia latipinna (sailfin molly)
Lineage: Eukaryota; Metazoa; Chordata; Actinopteri; Cyprinodontiformes; Poeciliidae
Exons: 2
Source: RefSeq, a predicted model, not a curated record